Molecule: ribosomal RNA, 433 nt
Filed under: uncultured bacterium
Lineage: Bacteria
Description: partial 16S ribosomal RNA
Rfam family: Bacterial small subunit ribosomal RNA
Source: RNAcentral
AACGAACGCUGGCGGCAUGCCUAACACAUGCAAGUCGAACGAGACCUUCGUGUCUAUUUGCGCACGUGGGCGUACCGCGUGGGAACCUGCCCUUAGGUUCGGAAUAACUCCCCUUAAGAUGUCCUAAUACCGGUUAAUGUCUUCCGGCCUAAGAUCUAUGGCCUUUGGAUGGGCCCGCGUUGGAUUCGCUGGUUGGUAGGGUAAAAGCCUGCCAAGGCGACGAUCCAUAGCUGGUCUGAGAGGAUGAUAAGCCACGCUGGGACUGAGACACGGCCCAGAAUCCUACGGGAGGGAGCAGUGGGGAAUAUUGGACAAUGGGGGAAAGCGUGAUACCGCAAUGCGGCGUGAGUGAUGAAGGCCGUAGGGUUGUAAAGCUCUUUUACCCGGGAUGAUAAUGACAGUAACGGGAGAAUAAGCACCGGCUAACUACGUG